AGUGGCGGACGGGUGAGUAACGCGUGAGAAUCUACCUUCAGGACGGGGACAACAGCUGGAAACGGCUGCUAAUACCCGAUAUGCCGAAAGGUGAAAAGUUUUUUCGCCUGGAGAGGAGCUCGCGUCCGAUUAGCUAGUUGGUGAGGUAAAAGCUUACCAAGGCGACGAUCGGUAGCUGGUCUGAGAGGAUGAGCAGCCACACUGGAACUGAGACACGGUCCAGACUCCUACGGGAGGCAGCAGUGGGAAUUUUCCGCAAUGGGCGAAAGCCUGACGGAGCAACGCCGCGUGGGGGAAGAAGGUUUUUGGAUUGUAAACCCCUUUUCUCAAGGAAGAACAAAAUGACGGUACUUGAGGAAUCAGCCUCGGCUAACUCCGUGCCAGCAGCCGCGGUAAUACGGAGGAGGCAAGCGUUAUCCGGAAUUAUUGGGCGUAAAGCGUUCGUAGGCGGCUGUUCAAGUCUGCUGUCAAAGACCGAGGCUCAACCUCGGGUAGGCAGUGGAAACUGGAUAGCUAGAGGUCGGUAGGGGCAGAGGGAAUUCCCAGUGUAGCGGUGAAAUGCGUAGAUAUUGGGAAGAACACCGGUGGCGAAAGCGCUCUGCUGGGCCGAACCUGACGCUGAGGGACGAAAGCUAGGGGAGCGAAUGGGAUUAGAUACCCC
Molecule: ribosomal RNA, 661 nt
Filed under: uncultured bacterium
Lineage: Bacteria
Description: bacterial SSU rRNA
Rfam family: Bacterial small subunit ribosomal RNA
Source: RNAcentral